Molecule: ribosomal RNA, 752 nt
Filed under: uncultured bacterium
Lineage: Bacteria
Description: bacterial SSU rRNA
Rfam family: Bacterial small subunit ribosomal RNA
Source: RNAcentral
GAUGAACGCUGGCGGCGUGUUUAACACAUGCAAGUCGAACGGAGUGCCUUUGAAAGAGGAUUCGUCCAAUUGAUAAGGUUACUUAGUGGCGGACGGGUGAGUAACGCGUGAGGAACCUGCCUUGGAGUGGGGAAUAACACAGUGAAAAUUGUGCUAAUACCGCAUAAUGCAGUUGGGCCGCAUGGCUCUGACUGCCAAAGAUUUAUCGCUCUGAGAUGGCCUCGCGUCUGAUUAGCUAGUUGGUGGGGUAACGGCCCACCAAGGCGACGAUCAGUAGCCGGACUGAGAGGUUGGCCGGCCACAUUGGGACUGAGACACGGCCCAGACUCCUACGGGAGGCAGCAGUGGGGAAUAUUGGGCAAUGGGCGCAAGCCUGACCCAGCAACGCCGCGUGAAGGAAGAAGGCUUUCGGGUUGUAAACUUCUUUUCUUAGGGACGAAGCAAGUGACGGUACCUAAGGAAUAAGCCACGGCUAACUACGUGCCAGCAGCCGCGGUAAUACGUAGGUGGCAAGCGUUAUCCGGAUUUACUGGGUGUAAAGGGCGUGUAGGCGGGAUUGCAAGUCAGAUGUGAAAACCACGGGCUCAACCUGUGGCCUGCAUUUGANACUGUAGUUCUUGAGUACUGGAGAGGCAGACGGAAUUCCUAGUGUAGCGGUGAAAUGCGUAGAUAUUAGGAGGAACACCAGUGGCGAAGGCGGAUUGCUGGACAGUAACUGACGCUGAGGCGCGAAAGCGUGGGGAGCANACAGG